CCAUGGGGCCAGGCACGCAGCUCCAACUGAUUUCUCAUCAUAACCGUAAGACAUCUGGGGAGCGAAGUUCUAGAAAAACAAGAGAGAGUCGGCAGAAAAAUCAGGGUCAGGACAGUCCCACAGAAAGGCAGAAGACAUCAGCAAUAAGGGGCCAAAUGACACGAUGUGCUUCUUGAUGGGAUGUGCUGGGACCAGUGAAAAAGAUUGUGAAAUAUGCCUGACCCAAACGCCUCACCCGGAUCUAAUUAUUCCGACAAUCCUCAACAGAGGGGGAGAAGAACUGGCCUCUAAGGAGUAACUGGGCUCUUCAGAAACUUCCGGUGUUGGGAAGGACAAGCAGAGUCUCAGAAAUGGCCCACAUUCGUGGGGACUAAAGAGACAGGACCACUAAAGGCAACUAAGGAUCCUGGAUUAGGAAAACAAAAUGCCGGAAGGAUAUUACUAGGACAUUGGCGAAAUGUGAAGGUGGACUGCAUAUUAGAUCAUAGUUUUAGAUGAGGGGAAAAAUGCUGUGUACAUAGACAGAGAUCCCGAGCAGAUGUGAUCAACUGGGAAGGGUAUGUGGAAGUUCUCUGCAUCAUUCUUGCAACUUUUCCGUAUGUUUGAGAUUAUUUAAAAAUAGUUAUGUUACCUGACCCCCUCCAAAUAAAAAAAAAGAAAGAGAAGAAAAAGAAAACCAAAGCUAACCCGGGAGAAGGGGCGCACACAGGCCCGCCCACCCUCUCUACUUACUCCACCAAGGCCAGGAGGGCCGGGAGGUCCACAAAGCUGAACAUGUCUAGACCCUAGACAUGUAGACUCUUGCGGCUGGGGUGGGGGGUUAGCGUCGGCUCAUGCGUGGCCUCACACUCCGCGUGCCUCCUGUUCCGACCCCGGGGAGAGACUCCGGUCUGCUCCCCACGGCUGGCCCGGGCCCCUUUUUAUAUCAUCCUGGCAGAGCACUGGGAGGAACCCUGGCCGGUGGAGAGGGGGAGCAGGCCGCCCGGCCCCCCAGCCAAUCAGAGCUGCCUGGCCCGGCCCCCAAUUUGGACCGGAGAGGGGGAGGAGGAGGGAAGGAAGGAAGGAAAGGGAGUCCACCCGAGUUCUCCCCCCUUUGCCACUCAGCUCCCCAGCCCCCAGCCCAGCCUGGGCCAGAGAUGCUGCCGCUGGGGUUUCACGGGGUGGGCAGGGGUGCCCUUGGUGCUUUCUUGCUGGGACCUCCAAUCUGAGAGCAUGGAAUUGGGGAAGGGUUAGGAGUAAGUGGAAGAGCCCCCCC
Molecule: long non-coding RNA, 1255 nt
Filed under: Heterocephalus glaber (naked mole-rat)
Lineage: Eukaryota; Metazoa; Chordata; Mammalia; Rodentia; Bathyergidae
Description: lncRNA (ENSHGLG00100041308.1)
Source: RNAcentral